UAGGGAAUCUUCGGCAAUGGACGAAAGUCUGACCGAGCAACGCCGCGUGAGUGAAGAAGGUUUUCGGAUCGUAAAACUCUGUUGUUAGAGAAGAACAAGGACGUUAGUAACUGAACGUCCCCUGACGGUAUCUAACCAGAAAGCCACGGCUAACUACGUGCCAGCAGCCGCGGUAAUACGUAGGUGGCAAGCGUUGUCCGGAUUUAUUGGGCGUAAAGCGAGCGCAGGCGGUUUCUUAAGUCUGAUGUGAAAGCCCCCGGCUCAACCGGGGAGGGUCAUUGGAAACUGGGAGAAUUGAGUGCAGAAGAAGAGAGGGGAAUUUCAUGUGUAGCCGUGAAAUGCGUAGAUAUAUGGAGGAAAACCAGUGGCGAAGGCGGCUCUCUGGUCUGUAACUGACGCUGAGGCUCGAAAGCGUGGGGAGCAAACAGG
This 429-nucleotide ribosomal RNA is filed under the name Gemmatimonadota bacterium. Its description in RNAcentral is "Gemmatimonadetes bacterium partial 16S ribosomal RNA". It matches the Rfam family "Bacterial small subunit ribosomal RNA", at positions 355 to 776 of the family's 1533-position model. The record is from RNAcentral. Lineage: Bacteria; Pseudomonadati; Gemmatimonadota.